Molecule: small RNA, 781 nt
Filed under: Pongo abelii (Sumatran orangutan)
Lineage: Eukaryota; Metazoa; Chordata; Mammalia; Primates; Hominidae
Description: processed transcript
Source: RNAcentral
GGGCCCACCUUGGCAUGGACCUGCCAGCUUCCGGAGCCUUCCGCCUCCACCUGUCCCCUCCUACAGAGGCCAGCACUGUGACACGUGGUCUUAUGUGCUGAUACCAGCAGCCCAGCCCGGGCAGUUCACUGUGGACCAUGGUGUGGGUAAGCUGGUCACGGGAGGGAGGGAUGGGGUGCUGGCCCACAGGGACGUGACGUCUGUGCCCCCUCAGAGCCCGGGGCAGACAGAGAGGAGACCCGGGUGGUGGACAGCGACUACACCCAGUUCGCCCUGAUGCUGUCCCGCAGACACACGAGCAGGCUGGCCAUCCUCAGGAUCAGCCUGCUGGGUGAGCCCCCCAUCCUGCCCUGGGCCUGUGUGUGGCCCUGGAGGCACCUCCUUCCAGGCUUCGGGUCAGACCCUGCCUCCCCACCCCACCUGGAGUGACUUGGGGGUACAGAUAGUUCAAUCUCCCACCUACCCAGCCCCCAACCCCCUGCCAAGUGCACAGACCUACGCUGGGCUCCCUGGGCUGCAGGCAGGAGCUGGUUGCUGCCUCCCGGGACGCUGGACCAGUUCAUCUGCCUGGGCAGAGCUCAGGGCCUCUCGGAUGACAACAUUGUCUUCCCAGAUGUGACCGGAGGUGCCCUGGACCUUAGCAGCCUGCCCUGGGUGGCAGCCCCAGCCUUACUACUCAGAGAGCCCCGGCCCCCAAGGCCUGACUCUUCUUGUGGGAGGGCGAGGCUGGUCACCCCAGGCCAGUGUCUGUUGAAGGAUGAAGCAGCUCCUGUCCGGCCCA